GACCUCAUUUCAUGGAUCAGUGAACAAGGUUAAGUUUUGGUGGUCAAGUCCAUAUCUCGGAUACUAUAAGCAAUAGGGUUAGUAUAUUCGGUGUAUGGAAGGACUGUAAGGUGUACAUGUCCAACUGGCAGGUGUCAUCUGACCUUAACCUCAUUUUCAUGGUUCAGUGGUUAUAGUUAAAUUUUUGUGUUUUGGUCUGUUUUUCUCAUACUAUAUGCAAUAGGUCUACUAUAUUUGUUGUAUGGAAUGAUUGUAAGGUGUACAUGUCUAGCAGGCAGAUGUCAUGUUACCUUGACCUCAUUUUCAUGGUUCAGUGGUCAAAGUUAAGUUUUUGAGUUUUGGUCUUUUUAUCUACUACUAUAUGCCAUAGGUCAACUAUAUUUGUUGUAUGGAAAUAUUUUAUGAUCUUUAUGUCAGUCGCGCA
Molecule: long non-coding RNA, 424 nt
Filed under: Mytilus galloprovincialis (Mediterranean mussel)
Lineage: Eukaryota; Metazoa; Mollusca; Bivalvia; Mytilida; Mytilidae
Source: RNAcentral